Molecule: long non-coding RNA, 751 nt
Organism: Notolabrus celidotus (New Zealand spotty)
Lineage: Eukaryota; Metazoa; Chordata; Actinopteri; Labriformes; Labridae
Exons: 3
Source: RefSeq, a predicted model, not a curated record
GUCACAUAUUAUACUCCUUUCACCAAAUUCAUAUUGGUGUGACCCAGGAUUUCCAUCAGAUCCGUGUCAGGUCUGUCUCUGAUUCGCUGCUGUCCAGCUCCUGGCUCUCUCAUCUGUCAACACACACCGGGUGCAUUUCCGGACAUAGAACAAAGCAGGACCGCUGGACAGCUGGAGUCAGGUGACCAAGACUCUGCAAUCGUACCAAAGUUUUCGUCUGGGAGAACAAAUACUACACAGAUUAUUAAAGGAGCCAUAGCUGUGGAACUCGAUGAUAUGGUAACAAGAAUCUGCCAGACCCAGCUGCUUGCACUCCUUUGUGAUGAGUCCAACAACAUCAAGACAGACGAAGAAUUAGUCAUUUUGGCUCGUGUGUAUGAUGAAGACCUCCUGCAAGUUUUGACAAAGUUUCUUGACAUGCCGUCUGCAACAUUGGAAGUGCUGACAGUCUUUUUGGAAAACUUUCAUCAGCAUUGACGUGGGUGAACUGACUACUAGGUCCCACAAAGGGGAUAAGGGUUUAAGUUAAAAAAUGUCAUAAUAGUUGUCAACUUUAUUUAUAUUUUCUAAACAGUAGUGUGCUUUUAUGUUUUUAUUCUUGUGAAGGAAAAGGAACGUUCCCUGGGAUAGGCUGAUAGCCUUCAAUUCCAACAAUGCCAGUGUCAUGAAAGGGAAGCACAACUCUGUAGUCACCAGAUUGCACAGCAGCCAGCCGCACAUACUGGGGUGCAUCUCAAAGCUCUAAACUGCA